RNAcentral lists this long non-coding RNA (205 nucleotides) under Carica papaya (papaya). Its description in RNAcentral is "long non-coding RNA (CPAP_LNC008915)". The record is from RNAcentral. Lineage: Eukaryota; Viridiplantae; Streptophyta; Magnoliopsida; Brassicales; Caricaceae.
UAUAAUUUAACAUUUCCAUUGACUUUUAUUUCAAGCAUGUGAAGUGGACCUUUCCCUAUGAAUUUGUUUUAAAUAGGAAGUAUGACCUAUGUUCGUCAUUUUUAAUAAAAAUUGUAUCUUUUUGAGUCAACUGUUUUGAACAUAAAUUGUCUUAUACUAUAUGAUGGUGCACUGCCCUUUCGACUGUAUAUUAUUUAUCAUAUUC